CGCCAGCUGCUUGUUGUCGUCCAUCAUGUGCAGGAUUUUGGCCUGGGGGGAGGGAGGAAGAGGAGGAGAGAGAGAGAGAGAGAGAGAGCUUUUAGCAGGAAGUUGACAGCUCUGCAAGGAGUCUGUGUCCCAGAGGGAUGGGAGUCCCUGGCCAUGCAGAUGAGGCAUGAAGAGAUUGGGAAUAUUUCCUAAGGACACAAGGGAAACCUCAGUCAAUGCCAGAACAAUUCCCAGCUGAAGGAGCUGUGAGUAUCACCAGCUUCCUUCAGUACAUCCUCAAAAAUGGACCCUCAAUGAUGGGAAAAGAUCUCCAAAGUGGGAUUUUUGCUCUGUGCCUCAGGUUUGUUGUGCCCUGGCAUGCUGUAGGGCCAGCUUCCAAUUGGCCCUUUCCAAAUAUCACCAGAGGCAUCUCUGUGGCUGUUUAUCACCAAGAAAAUCCAGUGCAAGAGAGCAGCAACUUCAGCAGCAAUCCCCAGGAAAAGCACAUUCCAGUCUCUUCCAGCACAUCUCCACUAAAUAAUUCCUAUCAAAGCUACAGCAGUUGUUAAUGCCUAGUAAUUUAUGUUUUCCCCUCUGCAAAGGUGUAUUUAUAAAUGCAUUUUACACCCCUCUCACUCAUAAAAUACAGAGCACCAACUCUUUCCUUCCUCAGCUUCCUCAGCAGCAUCUUUAUGCAAACCUUGCUGAUGUGGUACUGAUGUAAUAGCUUACUAGUUAUUAAAACUAAUAAGUUAUUAAAACGUAUAACUAAGUGAUGGUUACUAACUUAUAAGUUAUUAAAACUGAAUUAAACAGAGCUAAGGAUGGACAGGAUUAAAUUUUGAGUGAAUAUUCAGUUUAUCUCUUGCCACAUUUCCCCAUCUCUCUCUCUGUGAGGGUAAAAUGGUCUUGGCGACCUUCCUGUGCUGCACAUCCCUGGGGACCAUGAAAACAAACCCAUUAAUGUUUAUAAAGUGUCUCAGACUGGGGGAAUUACAUCACUGUGGCGAGAUACAAGCUUAAUGGAUCAAAACAAACCCCAGCUCCAAACCCCCCAGCUUAGACACAUCUCAGUUACCCAGCACAAACCUCAAGGAAUCCCACUGAGAAGGGAUAAUUGAGAGAAAAAUGUGAUCCCAGAGAUUUUUCUGCAGUAAACCCAUUUUAUGUUAAUAGAAAGCAGAUUUCUAGAGCCCUUUGCAAAGCAAUGACUUCCACAGCAUAUUUCACAGCUGAGCACAUCCAUGGCACCAGCUUUGGACACGGGGCUAUUAAACCCAACAUUUGUUUAAUGAAUUACAGCAGUCCAUGGAUCUGGGUGUGCUCAGCCUGUGUUUAAAUGUUUAUUGUCAGCAGCCAGCUCUGCCUGAGCAGGUAUCAGCCUCAGUGAUGAACUCUCUCUGCAGUGGACACAAAACUUUGAACAUUUUUUGGGUUCUGCUUUCUUAUCCAAGACAGAUUACCCAGGAGGUUCAGGGUCUCUGCUAAACAUAAAACUUUUUGGGUUCAGUGCCAGUUUGGGGUGUUUUCUCCUUGCUGAUGAACUGAGGUGUAUCUCCCACCAGCCUGGGCUUGGUCCCUGUGACUGAAGGGUGGAUUAAGCCAUUAAAACUCACACAUUCAAGCAAGGCUGAUGUGCAGCCAUCUCCAAGAUGACCCCUCUCUCACCUCACCAAUCAAUCUAUAAACCUUGACAAAAAAUUAACUCUGGUUCACCCUCCUAUUUUAUCACGUUCUCCACUGCAAACUAUGUGUGAAGUGCUCCCUUUCAUGGCAGAUACAGACAGUGGUGAUGAUGUGCUGUGAUCACUUUGAUUUCCUGCAAAAUGCCUCUGAUUUAUGGUGGUCUCCACUGCUGAAAUCCCCACCCAGGAGCAGCUUUAGAGUCCUUUGGGCUGGAAGAGGCCCUAAGAAUCAUCUCAUCCCACCUCUGCCAUGGUCAGGGACACUUUCCUGGGAUACCAGGUUGCUCCAAGCCCUGUCCAACCUGGCCUUGGACACUUCCAGGGACCCGGGGCAGCCACAGCUUCUUUGUGCCCAGGCCUCACCACCUUCACAAUUAAGAAUUUCUUCCUCAUCUCCAGUGUAACCCUGCCCUCUGCCAGUGGGAACCCAUUUCCCUUUGUCCUGUCAUUCAGGUGAAGUUUGAAUGAAAUGUCAUUUCCCCUCCUUUCCCCAUCACAAAUUAGGGAGCAAAGAUGUGGUUGGGCUUUUUCAGAACUGCCAGGGUGAUUUGGGAGAUCAGGUCCUGCUGAUUCCCCAAGAAGAUGAGGAUGGGGACUCUGUGGAGAAUUAUCUUUGCAGCCCCAAUUUACCUCCUGUUCUGUGAUGAGCGUCGUGUGGAAACUCCCAUGAAUAGUGAGAACGUGAAGCGCUCAGCAGGAUAAUGUGUGCUGUGAAAAAAACCCUGUGAUCAAUCAGCAGACAAAUAUAUACUUAAACGAGGUGUUAGUGGCAGAGAUGCAGGAAAGGUGAUUAUGGGUUUGUCUCCGUGUUUCCCUCAGCAACAAUGCUGACACGCAGGGGUGGGUCACCCUACCCUGCCAUUAAUGGAGCAUCAGCACUCAUCUGACAGCUCCUUUGUCCUGGGAACUCAAUUCCCAUGAAGAUUUGACAUUAGCAGAGGCACGGGGAAACUCAGAGCCUUUGCAUUUUCAUGACCCUCCAACUGCUUUAGCCUGAUGGAUUACAGGGAAGGGCCCUGCAGAGCCAGGCUCCAUCCCAGCCACCUCCCAGCCUGCAGCACCACUCCCCAAACGUGGCUGGGGGGAAUCCAGGCUGCCACAGCUCCCUGAUCUCUUCCUCCACUUUGGGGAAUAAUGGUGGAUAGAAAAAUGGUAGAAGUGAUGAGCUGUGAGCUGCCACAGGCAGACCCAGGUGCCUGCAGCUGCUGCUGGGAGCAAUCUGUGCCCCCAGAGGGCUGCACUGGUCACCAGCUGCAGUGCCAGGAGCAGCUCAGGCUCUCCCAGAGAAGGC
Long non-coding RNA from Zonotrichia leucophrys gambelii, 2955 nucleotides. RefSeq lists it as uncharacterized. The transcript has 4 exons. The record is from RefSeq and is a predicted model, not a curated record. NCBI's taxonomy places the organism in Eukaryota, Metazoa, Chordata, Aves, Passeriformes, Passerellidae.